Microtus oregoni (creeping vole) is the source of this 948-nucleotide RNA transcript. RefSeq lists it as uncharacterized. Lineage: Eukaryota; Metazoa; Chordata; Mammalia; Rodentia; Cricetidae. The transcript has 6 exons. The record is from RefSeq and is a predicted model, not a curated record.
UAGUGCAGAAUCCAGAAUGGAUGUCCUCUUCUUAGCCGCCCUUGCUGUGCCACUUAUCCUGGGUAAGUCCACUCCUGAGCCCGAGCCUGCCAGUCCUUUUCUUAUAAACGGGAUGAGAGAAGAGCUAGAAGGACAAGGACAGGAAUACGAGGACGAAGAAGAGCUGGACGAGAGUGAAUACUAUCAAGUGGCAUAUUAUUAUUACACAAUUACCCCUAAUUAUGAUGACUUUAGUCCAAACUUCACUGUCGAUUACUCCGUGUUUGAGUUGGAGGAUAGGUUGGUCAGAACGGGUUGGAGAAGGAGGCGACCACAGAGGCAGUGGAGACCACCAUUAGUCUCCACACAGAACUCGCGGACCCUCAGAAUCCUGUGACAACGAGACCAGUGACGACGAAGCCAGUGACUACAGAGCCAAUUCCAGAUCAGAAUGAUGCCAUGUCCAGUCUGCAGAGUUCUGUGUCCUGUCUUCUCUUAUGGACCCUCCUUCAAGGGGCGCUGCACUUUAUGUAGAAGUCUCCCGUGGCUCAGGCUGGUCUUGAACCCAUCUCCUACAUCCAACCUCUAGGAUUACAGCAGGAAUAAGACAUCACACCCAGCUUAAUUAUAUUUUAUAUGACAUUGUCUUGAAACUUUGGGGAAACAGUGCUGAGGUUUAAUUUAGAAACUCUUUUCCUUUUUCUAAAAUAACCACAUUGCUAAAUAUAAGUAAAGAGUAUUCAAAUAUAUUUAAAAUAAUAAUGCACUCUCCAAACCCCGACUUUAUUCCUGUUCAAUUUUUUCUUUUGGUAAGAAUAUGCAUUUUAAAAAAAUUAGAGUCUCUGUCCUCCCGACCCUAGUCAGAACUAGAGUGCCCCCUUGCGAUCUCUCUGUUGUCUUCAAAUUACAGGGUCUUGUUCUUCAUUGUUUGCUUUAACUCUGACUUGAUAAAACGGCUGUUAGCGUCUA